AUUCCUGUAGCGCAAUGGAUAGCGUGUUGGACUUCUAAUCCAAAGGUCGUAGGCUCGAAUCCCCCUGGGAUG
RNAcentral lists this transfer RNA (72 nucleotides) under Trichonephila clavata. It matches the Rfam family "tRNA". From Rfam's summary of the family: Transfer RNA (tRNA) molecules are approximately 80 nucleotides in length. Their secondary structure includes four short double-helical elements and three loops (D, anti-codon, and T loops). The record is from Rfam by way of RNAcentral. Lineage: Eukaryota; Metazoa; Arthropoda; Arachnida; Araneae; Nephilidae.